Molecule: transfer RNA, 77 nt
Filed under: Leptothrix discophora
Lineage: Bacteria; Pseudomonadati; Pseudomonadota; Betaproteobacteria; Burkholderiales; Sphaerotilaceae
Also listed under: 1 other name
Description: tRNA-Pro
Rfam family: tRNA
About the family: Transfer RNA (tRNA) molecules are approximately 80 nucleotides in length.
Source: RNAcentral
CGGGGCGUGGCGCAGCUUGGUAGCGCGGCUGGUUUGGGACCAGUAGGUCGCACGUUCGAAUCGUGUCGCCCCGACCA